RNAcentral lists this non-coding RNA (101 nucleotides) under Clostridium argentinense. Its description in RNAcentral is "TPP sequence". It matches the Rfam family "TPP riboswitch aptamer (THI element)". Rfam says of the family: Vitamin B(1) in its active form thiamin pyrophosphate (TPP) is an essential coenzyme that is synthesised by coupling of pyrimidine and thiazole moieties in bacteria. The previously detected thiamin-regulatory element, thi box was extended, resulting in a new, highly conserved RNA secondary structure, the THI element, which is widely distributed in eubacteria and also occurs in some archaea. Analysis of operon structures identified a large number of new candidate thiamin-regulated genes, mostly transporters, in various prokaryotic organisms. Lineage: Bacteria; Bacillati; Bacillota; Clostridia; Eubacteriales; Clostridiaceae. RNAcentral also lists the same sequence under 1 other name. The record is from RNAcentral.
AUAAAUUGCUAGGGGUGCCUUAUGGCUGAGAAAUGAACAAUUCAUUGACCCUUAUACCUGAACUGGAUAAUGCCAGCGUAGGAAAGCGUCUAUAUUAAAAU